UUAAAAAGCUCGUAGUUGAAUUUCGGGGUCAGUAGGUCGGCCGUGCCACUGGUAUGAACUGGUUUUACUGAUUCCUCCCUCUUGAAGAACUGUAAUGCCAUUAAUUUGGUGUUGCAGGGAAUCAGGACUGUUACUUUGAAAAAAUUAGAGCGUUUAAAGCAGGCUUUAGCUUGAAUACAUUAGCAUGGAAUAAUGAAAUAGGACGUUUGAUCCUAUUUUGUUGGUUUCUAGGAUUGACGUAAUGAUUAAUAGGGAUAGUUGGGAG
This 265-nucleotide ribosomal RNA is filed under the name uncultured Glomeromycotina. RNAcentral describes it as "partial 18S ribosomal RNA". It matches the Rfam family "Eukaryotic small subunit ribosomal RNA", at positions 619 to 888 of the family's 1831-position model. The record is from RNAcentral. Lineage: Eukaryota; Fungi; Glomeromycota.